This 2473-nucleotide long non-coding RNA is filed under the name Olea europaea subsp. europaea. The record is from RNAcentral. Lineage: Eukaryota; Viridiplantae; Streptophyta; Magnoliopsida; Lamiales; Oleaceae.
AAAUAAUGAAAACACGGGAAACAGAGUGACUCCCUUCAAAACAACAUGUCGCUUUCCUUUCUCUCCAUUCCUUUAACAGCACAUUGAAGACACUGCCUAGGGUUCACUCUGCCUUCCAAAUUGCAGAUCGAAGAACAUCGAAGGUUUGGUAAGAAUAAUUUCCCCUCUUUCUUGCAAUCACGUUUCUUUAGUGGAAAUUGAUUGACGAUUACAUGUGCUUUGUAGACCACCAAAGUAGAUCAUUUAGAACACUUUCUCCCUUUUGAUUUUUGAUUCUUUCUCGGUACUGAAUAUGAUGGCACCACGUCACUUAGGUAUUUUCUUCUUGGCAGUUUUCUAUUUGUUCGGAGUAAUCAACGCGAGCCUAAAUGACUUUGAUUAAUUUCUUCUCGGCCAGAUUUCUAUAAUUUGUAUGUCCAACUGACAAACUGCUAUUUUUAUUUUGUGUUGCAAGUGGGGUUUUCUUUACCGAGCGUGUUAACUUCAAUUGAUUGUGUGGUAACAAUUUUGCAAUGAGCCUUUUCUACUUAGUGUUUGCAGCAAUUUCAAAGAUAAAAUCUUCUUGGAUGUAUGCCCACUAUAGUCUAAUACUACAUCCUUUUAACGUGGGUUAUCUGUCUUCACUUUGCAGACAAUUGACAGGUGUUGUGAUAGGCAUUUUAAUGAUAUAUGUACACAUAUGUAAAUAACUAUAUCAAUCCAGAUCAAGAUUCAAUUAAGCAUGAAGUUAGAAUGAGAAAUAAGGAGGGAAGGGGGGUAGGUCAAGAUUGAAUUGCAAAUUGACAAGUUACUAAAAUGCAUGGGAAAUAAAAGAAGGAAUAAUCAAUUAGAAAGAAAAUGGAAGAGGAAGAAAUCUAACCUGUGUUUUCAGGGACUUUGUUUGCAAUAUCCAGUGUUUCUUGGUCUUAUAUAUUUCUUGAUAAUUUUAUGUAUAUUCAAUAUAGUUUCAACAUGGGUGGUCACAGAGUCAGGAAUAAGGAACCAAUGUCAUGGUCAGACGAGAAUGAACACGCUUUAUUGAAAUUCUUUAUGAGAAAGUCAAAUCAAACGCAUUGCAAUGUUCUACAUUCACGAAAGACAAAUUGGAUAGGAUCAAUGAGACCAUGAUAGCUUUAACAAAAAUGGAUUAUGGGAUAGAUAGAUUAAAGGGAAAGUGGAACCGCUUACGUAAAAUUCAUCGCAUGUCCUCUAAACUUUUGGGACAUACAGGUGUUACAUGGGAUCCAAAUACCAAUAAAGUUAAUGCCACAGAGGAAGUUUGGCAACAUUUUUAUAUGGUACAUAUAUUUAUUAAAGAAUAUAUUCGUCAUUAGUUUAUUAUCUUAUCAAUUAUACAUUUUCUUGUUGAAUGUUAUAACAAUGUGACUUUUUUUUCCAAUGGUAGAUUAACAAGUCGGAUUACAAGAUAUUCAGAAGGGAAGGAUGUAAGCACUACCACACUCUUAGGGAGAUAUUUAGCGGGAUUACUGCUACUGGAGGAUUAGGUAAUGCCUCCACUUAGCUUCCAAACACAUCAAAUGAAGAAAGAUAGCUAGAAGAUGAUUUCUUGAACAGGAGAGUGCUGCGGAAAAUGAUGAUGAAGUCGAUGAGCUUUCCUUUUCUCGUCGACGUAACGGAGUUGGUACAUCGGGUGAACGCCGACGUAAGGAACCUAAGAUCAGUAAAAGUAAUAAACUCGAGGCCUGCAUGGCACAGUGGUCAUCUGUGCAAAGUCUGAGGACUGAAGAAACUGAACUUAGAACACUUUACCUAAAAGAAAAGCUUGCAAAGAUCUAAGGAAAAUCACGUAAUCAAUCGGAUAGUGAAGUUAAUAGUCCGGAUCCUUAUCCAAAUGUUAUUUGCUUGGACAUCUUAAACAGUAUGGAAGGGGUGUCCAACGAGGUUUAUAUGAAAACAAUAAAAGCUUUUAAGGAUCCCGAUUUCAGAGUGUCAUUUGUGAAGAUGCCAGAAGCAAGGAGAGGACCUAUAUUAGAACUGCUUUGAUGUGACUGUUGUUUUAAUCUCUCUAGUAUGAUGUUGUUUUAAUUUGUGAUGUUAAAAGUUGAAGUAUUGUGUCAUUUUCAAAGCUUUCAAGGACCUUUCUUUCCAUUUUGUGGUGAUGUUGUACUGUUUCCAUUAUGGAGAACAUAUGUUAAUUGUUCUGUAGUUUCUAAAUGCUUGAUUGCUUGUUUUAUUUGAAAGAAUGUGGUUGAUAUGACUUAUGAUAAUUAUUUUGGUUAUGCUUUGUUCACAGUAUGGCCAGUCAAUUAAAUGUGGAUGAUAAUGUGAGUAUCGAUGAUUCCAUUGAUGAAGAUUCAAGUGAUGAUGAUUUGUUAUAUAUGGAUUAUUUUGAUAGAAAUAUUAGAGAUUUAAUGAUGCUUAAUUGCUUUGUUGCCAACAAAGGAAGUAUAAUUGGUAGGAGACCUUGUAGAACAUCAUUGCUUACAGGAAAAAUGUACAUGCUAGAAAUUUUGAAUUGACAUCCGAACGUGUG